Molecule: ribosomal RNA, 488 nt
Filed under: uncultured bacterium
Lineage: Bacteria
Description: bacterial SSU rRNA
Rfam family: Bacterial small subunit ribosomal RNA
Source: RNAcentral
CCUGGCUCAGGAUGAACGCUAGCGGCAGGCUUAACACAUGCAAGUCGAGGGGGUAUUGGUUUUCGGACCAAGAGACCGGCGCACGGGUGCGUAACGCGUAUGCAAUCUACCUUUCACAGAGGGAUAGCCCAGAGAAAUUUGGAUUAAUACCUCAUAGUAUAGCAGUUUCGCAUGAAACCACUAUUAAAGUCACAACGGUGAAAGAUGAGCAUGCGUCCCAUUAGCUAGUUGGUAAGGUAACGGCUUACCAAGACAAUGAUGGGUAGGGGUCCUGAGAGGGAGAUCCCCCACACUGGUACUGAGACACGGACCAGACUCCUACGGGAGGCAGCAGUGAGGAAUAUUGGACAAUGGGCGCAAGCCUGAUCCAGCCAUGCCGCGUGCAGGAUGACGGUCCUAUGGAUUGUAAACUGCUUUGUACAGGAAGAAACACUACUUCGUGAAGUAGCUUGACGGUACUGUAAGAAUAAGGAUCGGCUAACUCCGUG